UGCAGCGUGGCUCAGUGGAAAGAGCCCGGGCUUAGUAGUCAUAAGACCUGGGUUCGAAUCCCGGCUCUGCCA
RNAcentral lists this transfer RNA (72 nucleotides) under Ornithorhynchus anatinus (platypus). It matches the Rfam family "tRNA". From Rfam's summary of the family: Transfer RNA (tRNA) molecules are approximately 80 nucleotides in length. Their secondary structure includes four short double-helical elements and three loops (D, anti-codon, and T loops). The record is from Rfam by way of RNAcentral. Lineage: Eukaryota; Metazoa; Chordata; Mammalia; Monotremata; Ornithorhynchidae.